RNAcentral lists this ribosomal RNA (225 nucleotides) under uncultured bacterium. Its description in RNAcentral is "partial 16S ribosomal RNA". It matches the Rfam family "Bacterial small subunit ribosomal RNA", at positions 109 to 334 of the family's 1533-position model. The record is from RNAcentral.
AGUAACGCGUGGAUAACCUGCCUCACACUGGGGGAUAACAGUUAGAAAUGACUGCUAAUACCGCAUGAGCGCACAGUACCGCAUGGUACAGUGUGAAAAACUCCGGUGGUGUGAGAUGGAUCCGCGUCUGAUUAGCCAGGUGGCGGGGUAACGGCCCACCAAAGCGACGAUCAGUAGCCGACCUGAGAGGGUGACCGGCCACAUUGGGACUGAGACACGGCCCAA